Molecule: long non-coding RNA, 1158 nt
Filed under: Daucus carota (carrot)
Lineage: Eukaryota; Viridiplantae; Streptophyta; Magnoliopsida; Apiales; Apiaceae
Description: long non-coding RNA (DCAR_LNC006187)
Source: RNAcentral
GCGGCCCCAGCACGAACUCCACUCUACCUUAGUCAUUUCACAUUUAUAUAGAAUUUGCGCCACACUUGUGCGUAUUUAGUGCUUGGCGCAACUCCUUUAGUACUUAGAAUCCAUGGACACUAAGAUGGAGUUGGCGCCUUCAUUGUUGUAAUUUGAUAAAAAUAAUAAUAAGGAUAUAGAGACAGUAGGUUUAUGUGUAUAAACGGAGAAGAUACAUAAAGACUACAUUGUAUUCUCUUCUGAUAAACUAAACAAGAUACAUGCAGUUUAAAUAGAACCACAGGCAAGAGGUGGGUAACACAAAAUAGUAACUAACCUAGAAAGUAGCGUACUGGACUCCUAAAAUACUUCAACUGCCCAUGACUCUCCUAUAAUAUCUCUUCUACUGCUACUUAUACACACGUAACUGCUGAUAUAAUUUAUUUAAAACAACUAAACAAAUAAAACACCUCAUAACAAUAAUUGACAAAAGUUUAGAUUAACUAAAUAAUCCCAACAAUCUCCCCCUUAAUCUAAACUUAGUGCCUGGCAAAUUCUUCGCAUCUGGCAUGAUCUUUGGUGCCCAUCUGGCAAGACCUUCGUAGCCGAUAAGACUUUCUUUAUUGGCCUGUGUGGCCUUUUAAACUGAGCCCGUAUGGCUAUUCUUCACAAGCCCGUAUGGCUAUCCUUCUGAGCCCGUAUGGCUAUUCUUCACAAGCCCGUAUGGCUAUCCUUCUGAGCCCGUAUGGCUAUUCUUCACAAGCCCGUAUGGCUAUUACACUGAGCCCGUAUGGCUAUCCUUCUGAGCCCAUAUGGCUAUUACUUCUUUGACUGUAUCGCACUUUAAAUUUGCCCGUCUGGCACGCCCAUCUGACACUUAGACUAAAGAAUGAACUCCAUAUGCAUCCCAUACUGCACAUGAUGAUCUCUCCUGCAUUUCAUGGAACAGUUGGCGCACUCUAUCAAAACCAACCUUUUGUCCUCACUCUUUCUUCACCGGCUCCCUCACUCCAACUGCUCUUAAGUACCUCCAAAGAAUGGUAGGGAAGGCUGUUAAGCCUUGAUACUCCCCCCAAGCUCUGAUACCAUGUUGUAAUUUGAUAAAAAUAAUAAUAAGGAUAUAGAGACAGUAGUUUUAUGUGUAUAAACGGAGAAGAUACAUAAAGACUACAUUGUAUU